UACAGAGGGUGCGAGCGUUGUCCGGAAUCACUGGGCGUAAAGGGCGCGUAGGCGGCUCGGUAAGCGUGUGGUGAAAGCCCGGGGCUCAACCCCGGGUCGGCCAUGCGAACUGUCGAGCUGGAGCACGGUAGAGGCACAUGGAAUUCCGGGUGUAGCGGUGGAAUGCGUAGAGAUCCGGAAGAACACCGGUGGCGAAGGCGGUGUGCUGGGCCGUAGCUGACGCUGAGGCGCGACAGCGUGGGGAGCAAACAGG
This 253-nucleotide ribosomal RNA is filed under the name uncultured bacterium. RNAcentral describes it as "partial 16S ribosomal RNA". It matches the Rfam family "Bacterial small subunit ribosomal RNA", at positions 524 to 776 of the family's 1533-position model. The record is from RNAcentral. RNAcentral also lists the same sequence under 1 other name.